CCUACGGGUGGCAGCAGUGAGGAAUAUUGGUCAAUGGACGGAAGUCUGAACCAGCCAAGUAGCGUGCAGGAUGACGGCCCUAUGGGUUGUAAACUGCUUUUGUAUGGGGAUAAAGUUAGGGACGUGUCCCUAUUUGCAGGUACCAUACGAAUAAGGACCGGCUAAUUCCGUGCCAGCAGCCGCGGUAAUACGGAAGGUCCAGGCGUUAUCCGGAUUUAUUGGGUUUAAAGGGAGCGUAGGCUGGAGAUUAAGUGUGUUGUGAAAUGUAGACGCUCAACGUCUGAAUUGCAGCGCAUACUGGUUUCCUUGAGUACGCACAACGUUGGCGGAAUUCGUCGUGUAGCGGUGAAAUGCUUAGAUAUGACGAAGAACUCCGAUUGCGAAGGCAGCUGACGGGAGCGCAACUGACGCUUAAGCUCGAAGGUGCGGGUAUCAAACAGGAUUAGAUACCCCAGUAGUC
This 460-nucleotide ribosomal RNA is filed under the name uncultured Prevotella sp. RNAcentral describes it as "bacterial SSU rRNA". It matches the Rfam family "Bacterial small subunit ribosomal RNA", at positions 338 to 795 of the family's 1533-position model. The record is from RNAcentral. Lineage: Bacteria; Pseudomonadati; Bacteroidota; Bacteroidia; Bacteroidales; Prevotellaceae.